GACGAACGCUGGCGGCGUGCCUAAUACAUGCAAGUUGAGCGCUGAAGGUUGGUACUUGUACCGACUGGAUGAGCAGCGAACGGGUGAGUAACGCGUGGGGAAUCUGCCUUUGAGCGGGGUACAACAUUUGGAAACGAAUGCUAAUACCGCAUAAAAACUUUAAACACAAGUUUUAAGUUUGAAAGAUGCAAUUGCAUCACUCAAAGAUGAUCCCGCGUUGUAUUAGCUAGUUGGUGAGGUAAAGGCUCACCAAGGCGAUGAUACAUAGCCGACCUGAGAGGGUGAUCGGCCACAUUGGGACUGAGACACGGCCCAAACUCCUACGGGAGGCAGCUGUAGGGAAUCUUCGGCAAUGGACGAAAGUCUGACCGAGCAACGCCGCGUGAGGGAAGAAGGUUGUCGGAUCGUAAAACUCGGUUGGUAGAGAAGAACGUUGGUGAGAGUGGAAAGCUCAUCAAGUGACGGUAACUACCCAGAAAGGGACGGCUAACUACGUG
RNAcentral lists this ribosomal RNA (497 nucleotides) under uncultured bacterium. RNAcentral describes it as "partial 16S ribosomal RNA". It matches the Rfam family "Bacterial small subunit ribosomal RNA", at positions 28 to 507 of the family's 1533-position model. The record is from RNAcentral.